Molecule: long non-coding RNA, 434 nt
Filed under: Carica papaya (papaya)
Lineage: Eukaryota; Viridiplantae; Streptophyta; Magnoliopsida; Brassicales; Caricaceae
Description: long non-coding RNA (CPAP_LNC009342)
Source: RNAcentral
AAAAAGGUGAAAUUUCUCCCUACCCAUUUUGAAUUCGAUUUUGAGCCUAUCUGUGGCCAUAUCGGAGAAAGAGGGAUGAUAGGUGAGCCAAAAGCUACGGACAAAGCCUGGUGAAGCCGUUAUGGCCAAAACCCAAAAAUCCAUCCGAUGAAUCCCUUCCCGCUUCCCAUUUUACGUAAUUUUUUGAUCAUUUUGUUUACCAUCUUUUCCUAUGCAGGUUAACCAAAGAAGGAACCCUAGCCAUGAAGGAGGACCGGCGGAGCUGCCGUAUCCAGAGACCCCCUUACUAGUAGGUUCAGUUUUUUAUAAUUUUUCAGUCAACCGAGACCCUUUAACGUUUUUUUUUAUUGGGAUACGUGUAAAACUAGCCAAAACCGAUCGAAGCCCACCAAAAUUGGCUAGGCAGGGGUAAACUGCCGCUAUAGGGGGCGGAG